Molecule: transfer RNA, 79 nt
Filed under: Actinoplanes cyaneus
Lineage: Bacteria; Bacillati; Actinomycetota; Actinomycetes; Micromonosporales; Micromonosporaceae
Description: tRNA-Val
Source: RNAcentral
GGUGGGCGCAGUCCGUGCGGGAACCCGACUCGACGGGUCGGGCCGAGACAGUUUCGUGUUCGAGAUGCGACGUUCACCG